This is a non-coding RNA of Salvelinus sp. IW2-2015, 3452 nucleotides long. The record is from RefSeq and is a predicted model, not a curated record. Lineage: Eukaryota; Metazoa; Chordata; Actinopteri; Salmoniformes; Salmonidae.
GUCUGUCCUUCGGUCCAGUCCUUCCGUCCAGUCCUUCUGUCUGUCCUUCGUUCCAGUUCUUCUGUCCAGUCCUUCUGUCUGUCCUUCUGGCUGUACUUCUGUCCAGUCCUUCUGUCCAGUCCUUCUGUCUGUUCUUCUGUCUGUCCUUCUGUCCUGUCCUUCUGUCUGUCCUGGCAGGGACACAGAGGGACUGACUGACUUUAACUAGGCCGGUGUGGAGAUGUGCUUUUAGAUGACAGGAGCUAACAGCUGCCUUACUGCUUUACCCUCUGACGUUUUGAUAGGGAGAAGUGAGCACAGCGAGGCCAGAGGACUGUUGCAGAGAGGUGCGCGUUCCAAUGUUCCCACAUUCUGAGUUGUGAGGUUCUAAGGUUCUAGUGCUCUAAUGUUCUAGUGCUCUAAGGUUCUAGUGCUCUAAGGUUCUAGUGUUCCGAGGUUCUAGUGCUCUAAGUGGCCUAAGGUUCUAGUGUUCUGAGGUUCUACGGCUCAAGUGUUCUGAGGUUCUAGUGUUCUAAGUUUCUAGUGUUCUACAGUUCUAGUGUUCUACAGUUUUAGUGUUCUGAGGUUAUAAGGUUCUAGUGUUCAGAGGUUCUACGGUUCAAGUGUUCUGAGGUUCUAGUGUUCUAAGGUUCUAGUGUUCUACAGUUUUAGUGUUCUGAGGUUAUAAGGUUCUAGUGUUCAGAGGUUAUAACCACCCCUUGCUGCAGGAAAGCGGAUGUACUGAACAUUAGCGGUCAGUCUUACUCUGUUAACCAAUUACCAUCAAUCUCAGCUCCCUCCAGCUAUCUCAUACCUCUAGCUCCUCCCACCUUUACCCAGGAGACAAGGCUUUGACACACUCCCAGUACAUGGGAGUGGUUUUUUGUUAUGGCUUUAGGGCUUGAGUCAAUUAGAGGCCGCUUUUGCUAACGUCCGCGUUUGUUUUGACGGGGUCAGAGGUGGAACUGCAUUAGAGCUGUCAAAUCCACAAGUGGCUCCCGGCAUUAUACCUAAAGCGGACAUUGCCAUUGGCUGCGCGGAGUCGCAUUAACAGAAAUCCCAUGCAGCCUUGUCUAUAAAUUCAACCACUGGAAUAUGAGAUGUAAUCAACACCUCCAUUAGGAUGAUAGAAAUCCUCAUUAUUUAGUUGAAUGAUUUUUCAAUUUGAGGGUCAUUAUUUCUAUAUAGCCUACACUUUCUUCUUCUGAACUUCUAACACCAGUGGAAAUGGGUGUGGCUUCAUGACAAUGAUCAAGAGCAGCUGCUCGCCGAUUGGACAGCUCCAACACAGUUCCACCCCUGACACGGCUAAAACAUCAGCUAUGCGGGUGUCGGCUCUCGCCGGUUAACACUUGAUCUGAUUGAGUCUAGGCCUUCGUUUGAGUUAUUUUUGUUGGUUACCUGCAGUCGUAGACAUGUAGUUAAAAAAAAAAAAAAAGUGAACUAAUACUGAUCGUCUUUGACAAGAGUCUUUUUAUUUUGGUAUCAUGAAUAAACAUCGUAACGAUUUUAUUCCUUCAUAAUGAGAAAAUUAUAUCCUAAUUUUAUUAAAUGUGCAAUAUGAUUUAUUUUUUUUAAGACGGAUUAUAUAUUUUGACAACAAAGGGUCUAGUCUAUUGAGCAUUUUAACUGUUUUAAAAAAUCUGCUUGUGUUAUUUUAUCAUACAACAGGAAAGAUAAGCAUAAUGAGUAGAUGGGGCAGGAAGAUUAACCGAAGGAUUUGAGGAAGGAAGCCACACUGCAGCGAGCCUUAGCUCUAUAUGACUGAAGGAUGAAAAGUCUUAUAAAUUAUGUCUUUUUUUUCAUCCAAAAGAUUAACUAUUAUUAUUAUUAGACAAUUGUGUAUGGGAUUUACUUUGAUUCUUCUUCUCUGCUUUCAAUGUUAAAACCACUUAGCUGUAAAGAGGAAGUAAAGCAGUUGGCUGAGUUUAGUCCAAUAAAACCCUGUUGUUAUUGUGAUAGGGGACUAAAGUCCUCCAGUGAGACUGAUGAGAGUGAAUGUCCUGAAUUGAUUCUCAGCACUAGAAUUUAUUCUAUUGAUUCUCAGAACUGGAAUUGAUUCUAGAAUUGAUUCUGUUGAUUCUUAUAACUAGAAUUGAUUCUAUUGAUUCUCAGAACUAGAAUUGAUUCUGUUGAUUCUUAUAACUAGAAUUGAUUCUAUUGAUUCUCAGAACUGGAAUUUAUUCUAGAAUUGAUUCUAUUGAUUCAAAGAAGAAAGUUGGUUUAGAAUUUAUUCAGGUUGAAUUCAGGGGAUAAUAUGGGUACCUAUGGUUAUGUGGUUAGGAGUGAUGCCUUUAAAAAAGUCAUGAACAGUCCUACUGUUUGUUUACCUCAGAAGAAGAUGAGGAAGAAAGGGGGGGCCUCGUUAGGAGACGAAGGACGUGUCUUAAUUGUGUACAGAGUGACCUGACUGUUGCAAUCAAAAGGAGGUGAUUUAUAAAACGUGCCACUACACUGUAACUGUUAGUCUGUGUUGCAGGAACAGCAUGAUUUUAUUUUAAUAUAAUACAAUAAAAAACAAACAAACAAAUGGAGUAUGUAAUAUAAAUAACAUUUGCUGUUAUCCAUUUCAAAAAUGAUUUAUUUAUUUGUUCAUCAGACAUGUUUUUGUUUUGAAUAUUUUGGUCUUUGUGAAAAAGGGACUGAAAAGUGGCAAGAUUGUUUUUUUUUCAGGCAAUUUCGUUUUUAGUAUCCUACUAGUUUGCAUGGUCUAUUGAUGAAACACGUGAUACAAGAGCCAGUAUGAAGUGCAGUACUCCAAGCCGCUUCUGACAUUGACUGGUCUGUGGAUUCUGAUUGGUCCUACAGUGUUCAUGUCAAGUACAAUCCACCACAAUAGAAGACAUUUAAAGCAAAGAAAAGAUGAAACAUUUUCUAACCGUAAAACAAUUCAACUUUACGUUGUGUUGAAUCUGUCUCAUUCAUGUAUGAACCACACCAAUGUACUGCAGUCUGCUAUAUACCCACCUGACAAUAACAGCCCUUCUCAUUGGGGAUCCUCCCUUUCCCCUGUUUCCACAGAGCAGGGUGAGAGUGGUAAUCUACCAGGAGUUAAAACAGGCAGUACUUGGGAUAUUAUUUUUAAUGCAACAUUGCAUAUUGGAAAGCUUUAUAUAUAGAAUAUAUACUAUUUGUAAAGAUUUCUACAGAGUAUAAUUCAGAAACUGGUAUAAAUUGGUAUUUUUCUAACAAUUUGCACACCUGUAUUUUUGACAAUGGAUAUAACAUGUUUGUAAUGGGUAAUGUAAUGCACAUACGGUAACAUUUGACAAAAAAUCAUUAUUUUUUAUGUGUUGUAGGAGUUGAUGUAUUAUUUGGAGGAGGACGUGAGAUGCAGUUUACACUUGUUUUGACUGUUUUUACCAAAUAAUGAGGAACUGUGUGAGACUUCUGGUAUGGUGUCACCCCACGGAUUUGAGCAGUCUUUUUCAGAUGUAUUUCUGUGUAUAACAAUAAAGAAGUUAUGCCUUGUA